Molecule: ribosomal RNA, 626 nt
Filed under: Salmonella enterica
Lineage: Bacteria; Pseudomonadati; Pseudomonadota; Gammaproteobacteria; Enterobacterales; Enterobacteriaceae
Also listed under: 4 other names
Description: partial 23S ribosomal RNA
Rfam family: Bacterial large subunit ribosomal RNA
Source: RNAcentral
UGCAUGGAGCCGACCUUGAAAUACCACCCUUUAAUGUUUGAUGUUCUAACGUGGACCCGUAAUCCGGGUUGCGGACAGUGUCUGGUGGGUAGUUUGACUGGGGCGGUCUCCUCCUAAAGAGUAACGGAGGAGCACGAAGGUUGGCUAAUCCUGGUCGGACAUCAGGAGGUUAGUGCAAUGGCAUAAGCCAGCUUGACUGCGAGCGUGACGGCGCGAGCAGGUGCGAAAGCAGGUCAUAGUGAUCCGGUGGUUCUGAAUGGAAGGGCCAUCGCUCAACGGAUAAAAGGUACUCCGGGGAUAACAGGCUGAUACCGCCCAAGAGUUCAUAUCGACGGCGGUGUUUGGCACCUCGAUGUCGGCUCAUCACAUCCUGGGGCUGAAGUAGGUCCCAAGGGUAUGGCUGUUCGCCAUUUAAAGUGGUACGCGAGCUGGGUUUAGAACGUCGUGAGACAGUUCGGUCCCUAUCUGCCGUGGGCGCUGGAGAACUGAGGGGGGCUGCUCCUAGUACGAGAGGACCGGAGUGGACGCAUCACUGGUGUUCGGGUUGUCAUGCCAAUGGCACUGCCCGGUAGCUAAAUGCGGAAGAGAUAAGUGCUGAAAGCAUCUAAGCACGAAACUUGCCCCGA